CCGCAGCACCAGCACCAGCACCAGCACCAGCCGGUAAUAAUUACAAAAAGAAGCGCAGAGGAGCUAUACAAAUUCUCCAGGUGGCCGCCUUUAUGCUCCGACGACGCCGUUCAUCUGACAAAUUCAAAUCCAAAUCAAUUCCGGCCUCCAUCGAAGCAGAAGCAGUGGCUUCUUCAAAAAGCACGUGGAAGCGCCUCGUAGGGUCCAUCCGUCCCUUGCACCUCCAAAGCGGCAGCAGUAACCCAUCGACGCCGUCGGCCUCCUCCGCUAGGAGCACGCAUGAACGUACUUCUUCAAUUGAACGAUACGAAGACGUGCUCCUACCACCCAUAUCUCCGGCGCGGACUGACGACCUCUCCUCCGAAGAUGGAAUGUCCAGCCGAUACGCCUCUGCUGUCAGUCUCCAAGAGCUGGACCGGACGGAAGAUGAC
RNAcentral lists this long non-coding RNA (431 nucleotides) under Malus domestica (apple). RNAcentral describes it as "long non-coding RNA (MDOM_LNC011004)". Lineage: Eukaryota; Viridiplantae; Streptophyta; Magnoliopsida; Rosales; Rosaceae. The record is from RNAcentral.